GAUCCUGGCUCAGGACGAACGCUGGCGGCGUGCUUAACACAUGCAAGUCGAACUAAGAGCGAUGGAAGCUUGCUUCUAUCAAUCUUAGUGGCGAACGGGUGGGUAACGCGUAAUCAACCUGCCCUUCAGAGGGGGACAACAGUUGGAAACGACUGCUAAUACCGCAUACGAUCCAAUCUCGGCAUCGAGACUGGAUGAAAGGUGGCCUCUAUUUAUAAGCUAUCACUGAAGGAGGGG
RNAcentral lists this ribosomal RNA (237 nucleotides) under uncultured bacterium. Its description in RNAcentral is "partial 16S ribosomal RNA". It matches the Rfam family "Bacterial small subunit ribosomal RNA", at positions 15 to 229 of the family's 1533-position model. The record is from RNAcentral.